Molecule: ribosomal RNA, 454 nt
Filed under: uncultured bacterium
Lineage: Bacteria
Description: partial 16S ribosomal RNA
Rfam family: Bacterial small subunit ribosomal RNA
Source: RNAcentral
GAUGAACGCUGACAGAAUGCUUAACACAUGCAAGUCAACUUGAACUUCGGUUUGGGUGGCGGACGGGUGAGUAACGCGUAAAGAACUUGCCUCACAGAUAGGGACAACAUUUGGAAACGAAUGCUAAUACCUGAUAUUAUGAUUAUAUGGCAUCGUAUAAUUAUGAAAGCUAUAUGCGCUGUGAGAGAGCUUUGCGUCCCAUUAGCUAGUUGGAGAGGUGACGGCUCACCAAGGCGAUGAUGGGUAGCCGGCCUGAGAGGGUGAUCGGCCACAGGGGGACUGAGACACGGCCCUUACUCCUACGGGAGGCAGCAGUGGGGAAUAUUGGACAAUGGACCAAGGGUCUGAUCCAGCAAUUCUGUGUGCACGAUGAAGUUUUUCGGAAUGUAAAGUGCUUUCAGUUGGGAAGAAAAAAAUGACGGUACCAACAGAAGAAGUGACGGCUAAAUACGUG